CCCUUGUACACACCGCCCGUNACACCAUGGGAGUUGGUUUUUACCUGAAAGGGCGGGUGCGCUUAAACCCCCGCAAAGGGGGAGGCAGCCGACCACGGUAGGGUCAGCGACUGGGGUG
Molecule: ribosomal RNA, 118 nt
Filed under: uncultured bacterium
Lineage: Bacteria
Description: partial 16S ribosomal RNA
Source: RNAcentral